GGGUUGUGAGGUUAAGCGACUAAGCGUACACGGUGGAUGCCCUGGCAGUCAGAGGCGAUGAAGGGCGUGCUAAUCUGCGAUAAGCGCCGGUAAGGUGAUAUGAACCGUUAUAACCGGCGAUACCCGAAUGGGGAAACCCAGUGUGAUUCGUCACACUAUCAUUAACUGAAUCCAUAGGUUAAUGAGGCGAACCGGGGGAACUGAAACAUCUAAGUACCCCGAGGAAAAGAAAUCAACCGAGAUUCCCCCAGUAGCGGCGAGCGAACGGGGAGGAGCCCAGAGCCUGAAUCAGCAUGUGUGUUAGUGGAAGCGUCUGGAAAGGCGCGCGAUACAGGGUGACAGCCCCGUACACAAAAGCGCAUGUGCUGUGAGCUCGAUGAGUAGGGCGGGACACGUGGUAUCCUGUCUGAAUAUGGGGGGACCAUCCUCCAAGGCUAAAUACUCCUGACUGACCGAUAGUGAACCAGUACCGUGAGGGAAAGGCGAAAAGAACCCCGGCGAGGGGAGUGAAAAAGAACCUGAAACCGUGUACGUACAAGCAGUGGGAGCCCCACCACUAAGCCAGUGGUGAACUCCACAUACGCAUCCUUUGCUGAGGAUACGGUUAACGGAGCGAAAGCGACGUUCAACCGCAAAAGAAGCAGAGGGGGCUUAGUGGUGG
This 661-nucleotide ribosomal RNA is filed under the name Salmonella enterica. Its description in RNAcentral is "partial 23S ribosomal RNA". It matches the Rfam family "Bacterial large subunit ribosomal RNA", at positions 1 to 677 of the family's 2925-position model. The record is from RNAcentral. Lineage: Bacteria; Pseudomonadati; Pseudomonadota; Gammaproteobacteria; Enterobacterales; Enterobacteriaceae. RNAcentral also lists the same sequence under 1 other name.